AGAGUUUGAUCCUGGCUCAGGAUGAACGCUGGCGGCGUGCUUAACACAUGCAAGUUGAGCGAAGCGCUAAGACGGAUUUCUUCGGAUUGAAGUCUUUGUGACUGAGCGGCGGACGGGUGAGUAACGCGUGGGUAACCUGCCUCAUACAGGGGGAUAACAGUUAGAAAUGGCUGCUAAUACCGCAUAAGCGCACGGUACUGCAUGGUACAGUGUGAAAAACUCCGGUGGUAUGAGAUGGACCCGCGUUGGAUUAGCUAGUUGGCAGGGUAACGGCCUACCAAGGCGACGAUCCAUAGCCGGCCUGAGAGGGUGGACGGCCACAUUGGGACUGAGACACGGCCCAGACUCCUACGGGAGGCAGCAGUGGGGAAUAUUGCACAAUGGGGGAAACCCUGAUGCAGCGACGCCGCGUGAGCGAAGAAGUAUUUCGGUAUGUAAAGCUCUAUCAGCAGGGAAGAAAAUGACGGUACCUGACUAAGAAGCCCCGGCUAACUACGUGCCAGCAGCCGCGGUAAUACGUAGGGGGCAAGCGUUAUCCGGAUUUACUGGGUGUAAAGGGAGCGUAGACGGAAUGGCAAGUCUGAUGUGAAAGGCCGGGGCUCAACCCCGGGACUGCAUUGGAAACUGUCAAUCUAGAGUACCGGAGGGGUAAGUGGAAUUCCUAGUGUAGCGGUGAAAUGCGUAGAUAUUAGGAGGAACACCAGUGGCGAAGGCGGCUUACUGGACGGUAACUGACGUUGAGGCUCGAAAGCGUGGGGAGCAAACAGGAAGAGAUACCCUGGUAGUCCACGCCGUAAACG
This 800-nucleotide ribosomal RNA is filed under the name uncultured bacterium. Its description in RNAcentral is "bacterial SSU rRNA". It matches the Rfam family "Bacterial small subunit ribosomal RNA", at positions 8 to 808 of the family's 1533-position model. The record is from RNAcentral.